CGUACUGGUUGUUUCAGUGCAGUUGUAAUUAUAGGACUCAGAGUAUGAGUUGGCCAUUUGGAAGAAUGAGAACUUUUGUUUUUCGCGACAUUAGAAUGCAAUGACAAUGACGUUAAGCUAUUUCGGGCAUCUCUCGAAGGAACAAGAAAAGAGCGAUCGUUGUUCAUAUUAUGUUUAUCUAAAGAUUUUUCCACUUUCGGUUUCGAAUCUUUAUUCUUUAUUUCAACAGGAGGUACGGAACUAGUAGUGGGAACUUCACUAAAUCGAACUCGUUUCUUCAAAGGCUUCUUUAGAACUCGAGCAGCUUUGGAUGGUGAGCGAGCCUUGAAUCGACUAGGAGAGCGAGGUAUUUCAAACAUUGAUAAUAGAGGUGCUUUUCCUUUUUCAAUUAAAUUGGGAACUUGAAUGGUUGGCUCUGAAGGUACUAUUCCAACCAAUUGGUCAAAGGCCCUUGCAAGGGAUUCAUUAACAUCAAUGGCAUUUCCUGGUAACAGGGGGAAUAGUAGGAAUAGGUUCUGGAUAAGCUUACGAGACGUUGAAGAGAAUGUUUCAGACUCAUGCUUGGCAUCAAGAAUUUGGUUUUCGAUAAUAGAUUUCAACAAAUCGACGUCGUCUUGCAACAUGUCAGCAUACAUAUCAGCCCCCUCACCUUUGAACGAAGACACUAUAUGAGAAAUACUGUUUUGAAAAGUUUUGCAGAUUUCUUCUGGAUUAACUUUGGCAGUAAUCAAGCUUCUUUGAUCGUAUAACUUUGCAAGUCUUGUUUCGACAGAUUUUAUAUUAUGCCCCGACAUAGCAUCACUUUCCUUAGCAAUGGAAAUCCACAUCUUUGUUAAUGUGAUUUCAUCUUCAAUCCUUCUCAAUGUACGUACAUGUUCAAUUAGUGAUUUCUGCAGAUCCCUUGAACCAUCAAAUGAGUUUUUGAGCAUGCUUCUAGCAUCUAACAUUUUAAUUUCUCGAGAAGAAAUUUUUCGUACCUCCUUAUUUAAAGCCAAUUGCUUAGACUCUUCAGCAAUCCUCUUUUGAAGUAUGCUAA
Schizosaccharomyces pombe (fission yeast) is the source of this 1036-nucleotide non-coding RNA. The record is from the annotation of a GenBank genome assembly. Lineage: Eukaryota; Fungi; Ascomycota; Schizosaccharomycetes; Schizosaccharomycetales; Schizosaccharomycetaceae.